This 500-nucleotide ribosomal RNA is filed under the name uncultured bacterium. RNAcentral's name for it is "bacterial SSU rRNA". It matches the Rfam family "Bacterial small subunit ribosomal RNA", at positions 8 to 509 of the family's 1533-position model. The record is from RNAcentral.
AGAGUUUGAGUCCUGGCUCAGGGAUGAACGCUGGCGGCGUGCUUAACACAUGCAAGUCGAACGAGGAUACCGGGAUGAAGUUUUCGGAUGGAUUCCGGGUCUCCGAGUGGCGGACGGGUGAGUAACGCGUGGGUAACCUGCCUCAUACAGGGGGAUAACAGUUAGAAAUGACUGUUAAUACCGCAUAAGACCACAGCACCGCAUGGUGCAGGGGUAAAAACUCCGGUGGUAUGAGAUGGACCCGCGUUCGAUUAGCCGGUUGGCGGGGUAACGGCCCACCAAAGCAACGAUCGAUAGCCGACCUGAGAGGGUGAUCGGCCACAUUGGGACUGAGACACGGCCCAAACUCCUACGGGAGGCAGCAGUGGGGAAUAUUGCACAAUGGGGAAACCCUGAUGCAGCGACGCCGCGUGAGUGAAGAAGUAUUUCGGUAUGUAAAGCUCUAUCAGCAGGGAAGAAGAUGACGGUACCUGAGUAAGAAGCCCGGCUAACUACGUGCC